RNA transcript from Anoplopoma fimbria (sablefish), 2155 nucleotides. It is a transcript of the gene named syntaxin 12, with no coding region annotated. The transcript has 10 exons. The record is from RefSeq and is a predicted model, not a curated record. NCBI's taxonomy places the organism in Eukaryota, Metazoa, Chordata, Actinopteri, Perciformes, Anoplopomatidae.
AAGCAACCCUCUCUGCUCUUACAGCGUAAGAUGUUACGUGAUAACGUUACGCAAAAACGUCACGGAUCAGGAAGGGCCGUUUGUUAACGACAGGACGAAGGGGUAUCAUCAAAAUAAUCAAAGUUCACACUCUGGCAGACAUGUCAUACGGCAAAGCAGAGAGCUACCGCCCUGUCCCACGGGACUUCAACGCCCUCAUACAGACAUGUAGCUCCAACAUCCAGAAGAUCACACAGAACACUGCUCAGAUCAAGAGCAUGGUGAACCAGCUGGGGACCAGUCAGGACACCAGUGAACUCCAGGAUCGCCUGCAGCAGAUACAACAUUAUACCAAUCAACUGGCAAAAGAAACCAACAAGCACCUGAAAGAGUUGGGCUCAAUCCCUUUGCCCACAUCACCCUCAGAGCAAAGGCAGCAGAAGAUCCAGAGGGAGAGGCUGAUGAAUGAUUUCUCAGCAGCUCUCAACAACUUCCAAGCAAUCCAGCGGCGUGCAGCAGAGAAGGAGAAGGAGUCAGUUGCCAGAGCGAGAGCUGGAUCCCGCCUAUCAACUGAAGACGGUUCUCGGGAUGAAAAGCUUGUUUCUUUUGAUAACCAGGAGGACUGGGGUCAGAUGGCCAUCCAGACAGAGGAGGUGGCCAUCACAGAGGAGGACCUGGAGCUUAUCAAGGAGAGAGAAACCAACAUCAGACAACUGGAGUCUGAUAUUUUGGAUGUAAACCAGAUCUUCAAGGACCUGGCAGUAAUGAUCCACGAUCAGGGAGAGAUGAUUGAAUCCCGUCCAAUAAAGGAAGACAUUGUGGAUGUGUGCCAUUAAACGUGCCUCCGUCCCGAUGGAGGGCGAACAACGGCAGCCGUCAAAGAAUACACGUAUUUUCAGCGAACACUUCAUCAAAGGUGUUAAAUCUGACGACCUGUGGUCCCCUAACUGGGAUCCAUCCGUCUCCUCUCACACAGCAACCAAUAAGAGGAUAAAGAGAAAGACAUCGACAUCAUUUCUUACAUGUUAUAGACUAAAAAAUUAAUUGAUUAAUCUAAAAAAGAAUCGACAAUGAUGUCAGUUAGGUUUGAUUCAGUUGGAGCCUUGGAAUAUUAAAUCAUCCAUCUUUGCUCACUGCAUCUGAGCCUUUCUACUCUCAGGUGUGCAGAAGCUACAGGUUAUUUCUACUUUUUUUUUUUUUUUUAAAUACAAGAAUGUAAAAUUUGUUUAUCUUAUCAGUAUUGGUCAUGAGAAGAAGGUAAUAAGCUAUCAUAUCUGCUGAAAAUAUGCAUGUAGAUAUGUCAGAAAGUAUGCGUCCUGUGUUGAAUAAACCUCAUACAUAAACUGUGUGCAGUUUUUUUUUUUUUUCUUUUGUUCAAUUCAAUUCAGUUUGUUUUGUAUAGCCCAGAAUCACAACUUACAAAUUUGCCUCAGAGGGCUUUACAGUCUGUACACAUGCGACAUCCGCUGUCCCGGAACCCUUUUGUUAAACUGUCUCCUGCAUACAGUCGUUUUAUUUACAGCUUUAUAUUUUAUAAUGUGUGGCGUCAAUCUUUAAACAACUAUUGUGAAUGUACCGUCUUUUACAGAUUUACUCCGGUCCGUCGUCAUUAUACAGGACAGGCUCCCCACAGAAACAGGCCUUGCCUUCAGUUCGUUUAGUGGUAUCAUAUGAUGUUGCUAAAAUAGCAGUUGUAAAAACUAUUGUACGCUUUCAUUCUGGCGACAGUAAGGUGAGUUUUUAUCCACAAGAUGGAUGUAAACAUCACUGAAGUUGAGCUCUGGCAGGGACGUGGCGGAUUUAAGUGACUGAAAUACGGCGACAGGCGAUGUCUAUAGAUCGCAAGUGCUUUGAUCUGAUAUCUUUGUUUUUCUUAAAUUGAGAGGUAAUUCAAACAUUUGUGGAUUGAAACAGGAGGGUCCUCAUGGAGAGUCCAGUCCUAACCGCCAUGUUGGCCCUCCAGGUCGCUGCGCAUGUCACGUGACUGAAAACUAUGAAUAAAGUUUCAAUAACUUUUCGAGAAAUGUGGUGGCCACUAAGAUAUUUUGGUGAUCGAUUGGCCGUCCGAGUGAAACUUCCACACCGCCGCAAAACCGUGUUAAUCACCUGAUUUUGGUGUGAAUAAAGCCUAAGUAUGUUAUUUCAUAACUCCCAGCUGACUUGCUGUAUGUUCUGC